UUUGACCCGAAAGAAUAUUAAUGAACCUGGCAAACCACCUGGCAUCGUUUUGAGUGCUGCAACUUCUGUCUGGUUGCCAGUUAUGCGGGAAAGGUUAUUUGAUUUCUUGCGUGAUGAACGAUCAAGAAGUGAAUGGGACAUUUUAUCCCAUGGUGGGAUGAUGCAGGAGAUGGUCCACAUUUCCAAGGGCCACUGUCGCGGGAAUUGUGUUUCUCUCUUGCGGUCAAGUGCUGUUUGUCCUAACGCAAAUGAGAGCAGCAUGAUAAUAUUGCAAGAAACAUGGAAUG
This 287-nucleotide unclassified non-coding RNA is filed under the name Hevea brasiliensis (rubber tree). Lineage: Eukaryota; Viridiplantae; Streptophyta; Magnoliopsida; Malpighiales; Euphorbiaceae. The record is from RNAcentral.